Long non-coding RNA from Monodelphis domestica (gray short-tailed opossum), 11081 nucleotides. RefSeq lists it as uncharacterized. Lineage: Eukaryota; Metazoa; Chordata; Mammalia; Didelphimorphia; Didelphidae. The record is from RefSeq and is a predicted model, not a curated record.
ACUGAGAAAGAGCUUGAAGUGCAGCCUGAUCAAAUCAUUACGCCAGAAGAUCUUACGUGAAAUUUCUAUUCUCAGCUCAUGGCCACAUCUUAGAAUGGAGGCAUUUCAUAGAAUAGUCAUUUGAGAAGGAGUAGAAGAGGGCAUGAACUCCAGCACUUCCGUCAUUUGGAAGAGAAUACCAAGGUUUUCCUUAGGCACUCUUCUGCCCCAUUUUGCCCCUUUUUGGUGGCGCCCUUGAUUAGGAGGCUGUGUGGUACAUUGGAAAAAGUAUGGGCUCUGGAGUAACAGGAACUGAGUUCAAAUCUCUCUUCUGAAACAAUGGCAAAUCAAGAUGGGCAUUUUGACUUUUACAGGCUUGACUUUAGUCAUCUGCCAAAUGAGUCGGGGUUGGACAAGAUGCCCUUGAAGUACCUUCCAACUCUGGAUCUGUGGUUGAUGAUCAUUUCUUUCAGCAACAGAGUGGCGUCAUGGAAGAAGGGCUGGAUUUGCUCCUAGAAUCAAGUACUGACUGCCACUUUCUCAAGCCCUUACUAGGAAAGUUGAACUGGAUGUCCUCUGAAGUUCUUUCUGGCUCAAAAUCUUUGAUCCCAAGACAUUAAUCUAAAUGAACACAGGAUCUGAAGGAUGUUCUGAGAAAUACAAUGUCCAAAAUGAGGGAACUCUAUUCAGACCAUACCUGGAAUACUAUUUUCAGUUCUGGGUAUCACAUUUUCUGAAGGCAUUGAUGAACUGGAAAGCAUCCAGAAAAUGGUAAAUAGAAUGGUGAGGGGACUUUAAACCACAUUCUAUAAGGAUCAAUGAGGACAGAAGAACAUCUUCAAGUAUUUUAAUGACUGUCCUUUGGAAUCCAUUCAAGUAUAAGCUGAAGAAUUACUUCCUACAGAAGUAUUUUCCUGAUCCUGUCUUUGAGCUUGGGAACAAAGGCUGUGGAGUAAGAGAUAAUGGCUAUUUCUAACACAAAGGCAAAGAGAAGCAAAGGUUCAAAGCAAAUGUUUGGAUAUCAAAUGACUUCAAAUGGCUCUGAGGAAACAACAUUUUGAUGAAUUUAACUCCAAUGAAUCAGAAACAUGUAGUCUGGAUUUCUACAAAAAGAGGUUCAGCUUGGGAAAAAAUGGAAGAAAAAGACAUCUAGGAACUAAUUCUGGGGAACUGUGAAUCCAUAUCACCAAUAUGAGAGGUUAUUUGAAAUAGCUCUCUUCUUCCUUUUCUAUCCCCAUUGCUCACCCAGGUUCCUCAUGCCUCUUCUUUGCUUUUCUCACAUUCCUGCAACCAAUUUCUUAGUGAGACCUCAAAUUCAGAUCAGGUAUGUUGGGAGUUUAUCUGAAACUCAAACUUUUAUACUUGAAAAUGUAAAAAGUCUCAAGGAUGAUGCUAGGCUUUGCUUUUCUCUUCUUUAAAAUGAAGGAGUUGAAGAAGAUAAUUUGUACCAUUCCUUCUAGCUUGAAAACAUUAAUCCAUUGGUGCCCUGUUACUCCUGGAAAUUGUGCCUAGCCAUUGCUAUUGCCUAGACUUACUAUAAAGUCUCCUAGAUUUAGAGUUGGAAGACCUGAGUUCACAACUUAGUUCUGCCAGGUAUAACCUUUAUGACCUUGGGCAAAUCACCCAAGUUCUCUGUGCCUCAGUUUCCUCAUAUGUAAGAUGAGAGAAUAAGACUAGAUAGCCUGUAAGGCUCAUUUCAGAUCAGGAUGCUCAAUAGUUUCUAUGUCCCUUAUUUCCUAACUGUUGUUCAGUCAUUUUUCAGCUAUGUCUAACUCUUCACCAUCCCAUUUUGAGAUUACUUGGCAAAGACAUUGGAGUGGUUUAUCAUUUCCUUCUCCAGCUCAUUUUAUAGAAGAAGAAACUGAGGCAAAUUGGGUUAAAUGACUUGUCCAGGGUCAUUUGGGUAAUAAAUGUCUAUGGUUACAUUUGAACUCAGGAAGAGUCCAGGACUGACACUCUACCUAUCACCAAACCUAUCUGCCCUAUUUCCUAACUACUCCCCUAUAUAUGAGUUUAUGUGAAGCUACCUCUAGGUCAAAGGUUUUUAACCUUUUUUGGGUCAUCUAUCCUUUUGACAAUCUAGGGAAGCCUGGAGACCUCUUCUCAGAAUAAAGCUUUUAAAUGAUUUAAAAUAAAGUACAAAGGAUUACAAAAGAAAACUUAUUAUACCAUAUUGAAAUGCAGUUAUUGAAUUUUUUUAGUUCCUGUAUCCUAGGCUAAGAACCCCUGUUCUAGAGGUGUUGUUAUUUACUAAAAAGAGGUCAGGAGAAUGAAUUGAAGGAAGAGAUUUCCAUUCUAGUCCUGGCACCUUGGAUAAGUCACUUAAUAACUGUGUCAAUUGAUUCAUCUGUAAAAUAAAGGAGUAGGACUAGAUGAUGUCAUAAAUUCUUUCCCCUGUUUAAUGAAAGAAAUAGAGCCGAGGCCCUUCUGAGACCCCCUGAAGGGCAGGCUUAGGAGUUAAGAAACAUCCUCUUAAUUCCUGUCCUUGAGCCUAAGAUAUGCCAAAACCCUACUUUGUGUCCUUAAGAAACUUAGCUCAGAAGAUUUCAAGGGCAAUACUGCUGAGGCAAGGGAAACUGCAGCAGAAACUCAAGGAUGGAAUUUCCUUUGAAAACCUCUAGAAUCCCAAAUAGAGAGUUAAGUGCUAGGAUAUUUUUUUUUCACUACUGAUCCACCCUCUCUAGAAUUAUCUUAUUCCUUCUUCCCUCUCCUCCUCUGCUCCACUCCACUCAUUUGUGGAAUUACUUCCUAGCCCCCCCCCCUCCCCAAUCCCAAGCUAGUCCUGUUUUUAAAGGAAACUGUACUGUGCAGUUGAAUAAGUAAGCUCUGACUCCAAAGAGAAAAGACCUGGUUCAAACAUCAUCUCUGAAGGGUGCCACUAUGGCCCCUUAAGCAUGUCCCUUAACUUCCUUGGGUCUCAGUUCCCAGAUCUAAAAAUUAAGUGGGUUGGGCUAAAUGGCAUCAGAGAUUGCUUUCAGGUCAUUGAUUAUCUGUGAUCUUCUCAACAAAUAUAGAGGACAUAUAGAUUCAUCUAUGCGAGGAUUCUAGUAUAGACCAUGCUGAUGACCUAGGUUAUGAUUUGGUACUUUAAAAAUAAAAUUAGUACAAACGUCACCAGCCAAAGUUUCUCCAUUGAACCAGCCCCCUCUGCCCAUCUCACCUUUUCCUAGGAAUAAGCAAUAAUAAUCCUCCUUUUUUCUUUUUUCUUUUCUCUUUUCUUUUCAUAGCUCAUGUUGGGAAUAAAAAUGGAAAGUCAAAGUAAAUUAAAAGUCUAUAUACAGUGUUCUCUGUACAGAUAUAAGGGAUAACCUAGAGCGAAAUGCCCCUGGAAUACUGAUUCUGUGUAAUGAGGGAGUCCAGCUGGGUUAACAGGGUAAUUUAUGUCGACGAUCCGUCACAAGAAUUAUGUCCAUCCUUUUUUGUCAACAGCUUCCCUUACCCUGAUGUACAAUUAAGAGACUAGGAUAUUAGGUUCCCUUCAUUUAGUGAGGUCACAAGGUCACAGGCAGGGUUUUACUCCCACCACUGCAGUGAUUUAUUAUAGAAAUACAGAGCGGUGAGAGGAAGCCCACAGGCAGACGUCCAAGGAAACCAAACGAAAACAGAAUCUUCCCAAGGAUACAGCACUUCAGCUCCACUACUCUAAGGCUCUGGGAUUUUGUUGGUGUGGCUGCUCCCUCCACUGGAAGAGAUUGUGACCCUUCUAUGACUUAAUAGGAAAUUUCAUAAGCUGACGUAGCAAAAAAACAAAAACAAAAAAAAAAUCAGUUGGCGAUUAACUUAGUGAUGACGGGGCUCUCUCCCUUGGCUAGGCUAGUCCUCAAAUAAUAGACAUGCAGUCUGUCACCUGGAUGGCACAAACAAUUCCUUUCCAACAUAUCAGGUCUUGCCAGAGGACAAGCUCCAAUGACAGCCUUCAGGAACUAAGGGUCACCUCUAUGCCCCAGUGAACAGCUACCAGAGUGGAACUUGAGUGGAGGAAAUAACAUGGCAAUUAUCGUAAUGCUGCUGAGGCAAUCGAGCACUAUAGUGGAUAGUAUCCGACUUGAAGUUAGGAAAGACCAUAAAGUGCUACAUUUGGGUGAUAUCCGUCCAAGCCCAAAGCUAUCUCCCAAAGGCUUCUUCUAUCCCUCAACUACACAAAUCAAUCUGAGGUGAAUCAACAAGGUAAACAAAUUACAGGGGAAAUAAAGAGUCUGAUAUAAAUAGCUCUGAGAAUCCGCUGUAUUGGCUCCUAAUAACACCAACUCCUUUUCCAUAGACAAAUUCAUUAGGAGGCAACCUGAUUAACCUACAUGACAGAGAUACGAGUGAUUUAGUCUCCUGAAUUAUAUCACCAGAGAGACACUACCAUCCGGUUCUAUUUCUCUUGCUAGCACAUUGCUGACCUAUAAGAGAUUAGAACAUCAGCAUUACAUUAAAGUAUUAUAAAAAAAAAAGAAAAAACAAUUAGCAGGACCUGCGACAUAUUACAUACUCAGAGCCAAUGCUCUCCUCUUCCUGCGAGGAAAAUAAAUGCACCUUGGCUUCUGGGACUUUCUUGAUGCUUUAUUCUUUCACAUAGUUUAUGUAGUGGUGGCCCUUGAUGGCAAAGUAUAAUCAGAGCCAUUUUCCAAAUCCCUUGAAGAAAACAAAUGAAUAUACAUAAUCUCUCUCUGGUGUAGAGUGAAGUCCAUCUGUUCUCCCCUAAACUGCCAAGUCAGCACGAGUGUAAGCUGGCCAAACGGUGUCUCCUGCCAUAGAUAUUUGUGGUAAGCAAGAUGCCUCCAACCUGUUCUUGCUUGGGAUUAUUUCCCUUGUUGAUCUGGGUCAGAUUUUAGUGAUUUGGCAUUUUGAGGAUCUGGACAUCAUGGAGGAAAAAAAAAAAGAGGCGAGAUCAGUCUGUCAGCAAGCAAGAGACCCUCCAAGGAAGGGGGGCAUGUCACCAUCGGGUGGUGGUGUUUUAAAGUCUAUAAGUCAUGACUCCCUUCCAAGCCCUUAUCACAUCACUCCUGGACUGUGGCAAUAGCCUGUUGGGGGGUCUGCCUGCCUCUCCCCACUCUAAUCCUUCUUCUAUAUUCACCCACCAAAGUGAUUUUCCUUUACAGAAAUUACAGUUCUAUGUGUGCGUAUAUAGAUGGGGGGGGGGGGUGUAUGAUAUAUGCAUAUAAAUGCAUUUAACUACCUUUAGGUAUUUAAAUCUUUAGUUUGGGGACAAUUAACCUUUUCUGAGGCACCUGGAUGGGGCAGUGUCUAGAGUUCCACCUUGAGCUCAAAUCUGGCCAAGAGACCCUUAUUAGGUGGGUAAUUCUGAGUAUGUCAUUUAACUUCUGUUUUUCUCUAUUUCUUUACCUGUAAAAUAGGAAUCUUAGUAAUACCUACCUUCCAAGGUGGUUGUGACAAUUGACGGAGAUAAUAUUUGUAAAGUGCUUAGUAUGGUACCUGCUACAUAGUGGGUCCUUAAUAAAUAUUUGUUCUCUGCUCCUGCUUUUUUGUUUCUGGACCCCUCUGGCAGUCAGAAGUCUAGAGAUCCCUUCUAGAAUAAUAUCUUAAAAUAUAUAAACUAGAUAUAUUUAAAUAUAGUUAUGAAAAUAUGAAAAAAAAACCAACUUCACAGAUGCUGGGUUAAGAAUUCCUGUUUUUGAUUGCCUUUUACUUCUCCCACAGGGUUCGAGGGACCCUCUGGUGCCCAAGCUCAGACAGAGGCCCCCAAACCAAAGUCACCUGCCAUUUAUGAAAUGCCUGCUAUGUUAGACAAUGUGCUAAGCCCUGAGGGUUCAAAGGAAGGUAAAAACUAAAACACAACAAAACACUUGGGUUUUUUUUAUAGCUUUGAAGCCCCAGUCCUUAUCCUUUCCCAUGGAUAGCCUUUAUUAAAUUAAAAUAAUACAUGUGAGGAAUAAAAUGUCCAUAACUGAACUCAUGAUCCUCCCCCCUAAUCUCUUCCCUCCUCCUACCAUCUCUAUUACUAUAAAAGGCAACACCAUCAUCCCAUCCCUCAGACUCCCCAACCUUGAAGCCAUCCUGGGCUUCUCACUGUCUCUCAAAAUCCGACUGUCCCUUCCAAGUUCUUGCUAAGAACCAUCAGUUUCAUUUCUAAAUAUCUCUCAAAGAUGCUCCUUCUCUCCUCUGGCAUUACUGCCAAUUAGGCAAGCCCUUCUCACUCCACAAUUGGACUGCUGCACUAGCCUCCUGGCGGCUCUGCCUGCCUCUAGUCUCUCCCCACUCUAAUCCUUCCUCCAUUCAGCCAAGAAAAUGAUCUUCCUAAUCCUAUUAUAUUAAUUUAUAUUAUCAUGUAUCAAUCCACUGAGCUACCUAGCUACACCCUUUUUACAUAUAUAAUUUUCAUUUAUAUAUAUAACAUUAUAUUAUUUAUAUAUUAAUAUUUCUAUCUGCUGCAGGAUUAAAUUCAGAAUCCUCUAUUUGGCAUGCAAAGCCCUUCCUAACCUAGCUCUUCUACCUUUCCAGUCUUUUUUAUACUUAACUCCCUCAUUUGCAUUCUUUGAUUCAGGGAUGCUGGUUUCCCGAUUGUUCUAUGAAUAAGAACCUCCAUUUCUCAGUUUGAGGCAUUUUCCCUGGUUAUCCCCCAUGCCCGAAAUAUUCUCCCUCUUGAGCUCUGCCUAGAGGCUUCCUGGCUUCUUUUAAAUCCCAUUUACAGGGGGCAGCUGGGUAUCUCAGUGGAUUGAGAGCCAAAUCUAAAGAUGGGAGGUCCUAGGUUCAAAUCUGGCCUCAGACACUUCCUAGCUAUGUGACCCUGGGCAAGUCACUUAACCCUCAUUGCCUAGUCCUUAUCACUCUUCUGCCUUGGAGCCAAUACACAGUAUUGAUUCCACAACAGAAGGUAAGGGUAUAAAUAAGUAAAUAAAUGAAUGAAUGAAUGAAUGAAUCCCAUUUAUAAUGCUGAAAGACUUAUGACUGGGAAUGCUAUCUACCUCCAGAGAAAGAACUGUUGGAGUCGGAUGGCUACGGAUCAAAGCAGACUAUCUUUCACAUCAAAGCAUUUUAUUUUGGAGUUUUUGUUUUGUAUGAGUGUGCUCUUAUAACAAUGGACAAUAUGGAAGUAUGUUUUGCAUGAUAAUAAAAAUAAAAAUUUAAAAAUAAUAACAAAAACUUUAAAAAUCCCAUCUUCUACAGAAAGUCUUUCCCAAUCUUUCUUAAUGCUACUGCUUUUCUUCUCAUUUCCCAUUUUUCCUGCAUAUAGUGUAUUUGUACAUAUUUAUUGGCUUAUCUCCUCCAUUAGAUUGUAAGCCCUUUGAAGGCAGCAAUUGUCCUUUGCUUCUUUUUGUAUGUAUCCCUACAGUGCUUAUUGCAGGAACUGGCACAUAGAAGGUACUUUGUAAAUGUUGAUUAAUGAAAUGAAUUUUUCUAAUCAAUUGAUUUAUAUGUCCUUCAGAGGAUUUUAUAUUGUAUAUUGUGCCAGUGAAGUAUAUAUAGAAGAAUAGAUAUGAUGUUUCAGAUCAUUUCUACAACAAAGGAGAGCAUCCAAAGCUUGUUUGAGAAUGUACCUUCCUAUUGAAAUGUUGUUUCUCUGGUCAAAUUGGAUUCAGCAUAUAUGACUGAAUCUGUUUAAUUUACCAAGUCCAUUUUUCAGGAACAUGAGUUAGAGUCAUGCAGCACAAUUCUGUAAGAAUUGUGACAUAGAAGAGGCAGCUCAGUAGAUAGAGAGCCAGACCUAGAGACUAGAGGUAUUGGGUUCAAAUGUGAUCUCAGAUACUUCCUAGCUGUGUGUCCCUAAGCAAGUCACUUAAUUCAGUGCUCAAGGAAAUUCUAUUUUUUUUAACUUUUUUAGAUUUAGAAUUUUUUCCAUAGUUACAUGAUUUAUGUUCCCCCUUCCCUCCUCCUUCCUGGAGCUGAUAAGCAAUUCCAUUGGGUUAUACAUAUAUCAUUGUUCAAAACCUAUUUCUAUGUUAUUUAUAUUUGCAAUAGAGUGAUUUUUUAACCUCAAAAUCCAAUCAUAUCACCAUCAAACCAUGUGAUUGAUCAUAUGUUUUUUUCUGCGUUUCUGUUCCCACAGUUCUUUCUUUGGAUGUGGAUUAGUGUUCUUUCACAUGAGUCCCUCCGAAUUGUCCUGAAUCAUUGCAUUGCUGCUAGUAGAGAAUUCCAUUACAUUCAAUUGUACCACAGUGUAUCUGUCUCUGUAUAUAAUGUUCUACUGGUUCUGCUCCUCUCUCGCUCUGCAUCACUUCCUGGAGGUUGUUCCAGUCUCCAUGGAAUUCCUCCACUUUAUUAUUCCUUUUAGCACAAUAGUAUUCCAUCACCAACAUAUACCACAAUUUGUUCAGCCAUUCCCCAAUUGAAAGGCACCCCUUCAUUUUCUAAUUUUUGGCCACCACAAAGAGCGCAGCUGUGAAUAUUCUUGUACGAGUCUUUUUCUGUAUUAUCUCUCUGAGAUACAACCCCAACAGUGCUAUGGCUGGAUAAAAGGGCAGGCAGUCCUUUAAAGCCCUUUGGGCAUAAUUCCAAAUUGCCCUCCAGAAUGGUUGGACCAAUUCACAACUCCACCAACAGUGUAUUAGUGUCCCAAUUUUGCCACAUUCCCUCCAAUAUUUAUCACUUUCCUUUGCUGCCAUAUUGGCCAGUUCAAGGCAACCCUUAAGACUAUAAAUUGGUGGGGAAGCCAAGUAGCAGAAUGGAUAGAGCAACAGGCCUGGAGUUGGGAUGACCUAUGGCCUAGCUGUGUGACCUUGGACAAGUCACCUAACCCUGAUUGCCUAGCCCUGGCUGCUCUUCUGUCUUAGAAUUGAUGCUAAGACAGAAGGUAAGGGUUUUUUUAAGAAGAAGAAGAAAAAGAAGAAAGGAAGUAUAGAGUCUCUACUUGAGAUGGAUAGGAAGAUGUGGAUGGCAGAAAGAAGGAGGAACUACUGAAUUCCCAUUUUGCUUUGAUGAAGAACCUCUCCAGAAUGGUAAAUAUAGAAUGAACAUUGUUAACUAAGAACAGAAACUUGGAAUAUGAGAUGAGGAGGAAGUGACUAAAGAAACCUGACUUUCUUUAAAGAGUUCAAAAUAGUUGACAGUGACAAAAUUACAUCUCAAGUAUUGACAGAUUUUGCAGAUGGGAUUACCAACAACUUUGAGGAAUCAUGAAGAAUAAGAGAAAGAAAACAUCACACUGAUUUUUUUAAAAUGGCAUGAAGAUGGAUGGUUCAAACUCUAGCCCAGCAAGACCCAUGUCCAUUAUUAAUAUUUUUAACUAUAGGCUGGAUAUAAAUGAAUGUAUGUGUAAGAGCAGAAAAGGGGAAGAGGUGAUCAUUGAAAUUCAGCAUGGCAUAACAGUCAUGAAGAACACAUACUAGCAUCAUUUCCUUUUUUGAUAGAAUUUCUAUUAUGUAUGUUCAGAGAAACUGCACACAUAUAAUAUAUCUGCAAUAUAUUUGACAAAGUCUCUCACAGUAAUCUUUUCCAAAAAAAAUGGAGAAGUAUAUGCUAGUACAGUGAGGUAGAGUUGGAAUUAGUUAAAUGACUGGGACCAAGUUUGAUGACAACCUGGAUACCAAUCCAUUAUUCAUAUUCUGUUCAAAUUUAGUGACUUGAACUAAUAAGAUAUAUUUAUCAGAUCAGCAUGUGAGAUAAAGCUACAAAGGCUAGCUCAUGCAUUUAGAUGAUCUUUUAGGAUUCUGGGGAUUUUUUUCUCCAAAGAAGAGGUGAUUGGAGGCACAUGAUUGAUCUGAAUUCAGAUUAGCUUAUAAACUUAAAGUUAGGAGGACUCUUAAAGGUCAACUCCUUCAUUCUACAGAUGAGGAAACCAAGACUCAGAAGGGUUGAGUGAUUUGCCCAAGGUCACAAAGGUAUAAAGUGGUAGAAUCAAAAUUCAAACCCAGGUCCUCUGACUCCAAUUCCAGUGAACUUUCUGUUAUUCUAGGAGGUUUCUCAUGGUGUUUCUUGUAGAUAAGGGAUUAGGCUUAUUGUACGUGGCCCUAAAGAUGAGAACUACAACCAGUGGAUAGAAGCUACAGAAGGCAAGUUUAAGUCCCUAUAUAAGAAAAAACUCCUCUAUUAAAACUAACAAGAAAAGGAAUGAGUCAUGUCAGGAAACAAUGAGUUUCCCACUGUUGUAGGUAUUGAAGUAAAGAACAUUAUAAAGAGAACUCAUGUUCCAGAUGAGCAUGCUACAGGCUGGAUUAAUGAUCUUCCUAACACUGGUAUGCUUGGAUUUUUAUAUUCUUUCAUUUAGGGACAGCAAGGUAUUUCCCUUAAUGCACUUCAUAGUUAAAAGUUAUUUCUAAUUCUGUACCCUAUUACUAAAAGGAAUGUGGAAAAAAUUCAAGGAUGAAUUAAAAUGACAAAAUUGCUAGAAUAUAGGCCAUAGAGUUAGAGCUAGAAGGGACCCAUGACAUGAUCAAAUCCAAACCCUUCACUUUACACUUAGGGAAAAUGAAACACAAAGGGAUAAAAUGUCUUAUCCAACGUCAGAUAAUUAAUGUGUCUAAAGGUAUAUUUAACUUCAGUUCUCCCUAUUUCCAAAUCCUUUCUCUGACCACUAUGCCACAUUGACACAAUAAUGCCUAAGGAAUUUGUGUUUCCAAGUAUGAAGAAGAGGAGGCCAAUGAAUUGAUCCUUCGCAUAAUUUUCUUCAUGUGGUAGACAAGGGUCAGGCAGAAGAAGGCUGAGGAAGCAAGUAUAGGGUCUUCUGAAGAGCCUCAUCAUACUAGGAAUUGUGUACUAAAGAAAAAUAUGGGACUUGGGAGGGAGAAAAGGCAAAGAUAUUGACUCUACAUUCAAUAAAUAAUUUCCAGGGACUGGAUUUAUGGAAAUCUACACAUGAAGGAGACAAUCAUUUUGAGAGUCAAAAGGAUAGGUAGUGGUGUCUAAUUAGUGAGAUCUAGAAAGAGUCCAUUUUAAGGUUUAGAAUAAGGGAUCUAUCUAGUUAUACUGGUGGCCAAUUUUAACACAUCUGUGAAGCAUGACUGGCCACCAGCAUCCACACUCUGCAUCUGCUGAUGCUAGGACCUUGCUCCUUUAUGAACAUGAUUGAUAAUUCUUCAUAUCUCAACUUAAACUUAAGUUUUAGGGAUUUGGUCUACCUAUAAAGAAGAACAUUCUACUAGUAUGGAUAUGGUGUAUACUAGUAUACAGUGAAAAAGAUUAUCCAAGAAUCCAAUGAAAUUUCUUCUGGAGGUCUUUUU